Molecule: ribosomal RNA, 503 nt
Filed under: uncultured bacterium
Lineage: Bacteria
Description: partial 16S ribosomal RNA
Rfam family: Bacterial small subunit ribosomal RNA
Source: RNAcentral
AUUGAACGCUGGCGGCAGGCUUAACACAUGCAAGUCGAGCGGUGUGAUGGUGCUUGCACUAUCACUUAGCGGCGGACGGGUGAGUAAUGCUUAGGAAUCUGCCUAUUAGUGGGGGACAACAUCUCGAAAGGGGUGCUAAUACCGCAUACGUCCUACGGGAGAAAGCAGGGGAUCACUUGUGACCUUGCGCUAAUAGAUGAGCCUAAGUCGGAUUAGCUAGUUGGUGGGGUAAAGGCCUACCAAGGCGACGAUCUGUAGCGGGUCUGAGAGGAUGAUCCGCCACACUGGGACUGAGACACGGCCCAGACUCCUACGGGAGGCAGCAGUGGGGAAUAUUGGACAAUGGGGGGAACCCUGAUCCAGCCAUGCCGCGUGUGUGAAGAAGGCCUUAUGGUCGUAAAGCACUUUAAGCGAGGAGGAGGCUCUUUUGGUUAAUACCCAAGAUGAGUGGACGUUACUCGCAGAAUAAGCACCGGCUAACUCUGUGCCAGCAGCCGCAGUAA